This 181-nucleotide non-coding RNA is filed under the name Aliivibrio fischeri. RNAcentral's name for it is "Vibrio genomosp. Lysine sequence". It matches the Rfam family "Lysine riboswitch aptamer". From Rfam's summary of the family: Riboswitches are metabolite binding domains within certain messenger RNAs that serve as precision sensors for their corresponding targets. Allosteric rearrangement of mRNA structure is mediated by ligand binding, and this results in modulation of gene expression. RNAcentral also lists the same sequence under 1 other name. The record is from RNAcentral. Lineage: Bacteria; Pseudomonadati; Pseudomonadota; Gammaproteobacteria; Vibrionales; Vibrionaceae.
UCUUGCCGUAGAGGUGCAAUUACAAUCAGUAUCUGUUAUUGGGGUGAUGCCAAUGAAUAACAGUGAAAGGUGUAGUUGCCGAAGUAAGUCUGUAAAUUAAAACGGCUUGCUGGGGUUGUCAUCAAAUAGGGACAACACUGCCAUAGUCUUAUUUUUUAAACUAUGGAGCGCUACUGUAGGG